UACGGAGGAUCCAAGCGUUAUCCGGAUUUAUUGGGUUUAAAGGGUGCGUAGGCGGCUUAUUAAGUCAGGGGUGAAAGACGGUGGCUCAACCAUCGCAGUGCCCUUGAUACUGAUGAGCUUGAAUAUACUAGAGGUAGGCGGAAUGUGACAAGUAGCGGUGAAAUGCAUAGAUAUGUCACAGAACACCGAUUGCGAAGGCAGCUUACUAUGGUAUUAUUGACGCUGAGGCACGAAAGCGUGGGGAUCAAACAGG
This 253-nucleotide ribosomal RNA is filed under the name uncultured bacterium. RNAcentral's name for it is "partial 16S ribosomal RNA". It matches the Rfam family "Bacterial small subunit ribosomal RNA", at positions 524 to 776 of the family's 1533-position model. The record is from RNAcentral.